UGGCUCCAUGGUCAAGCGGUUAAGACAUCGCCCUUUCACGGCGGUAACCCGGGUUCGAUUCCCGGUGGAGUCAUC
RNAcentral lists this transfer RNA (75 nucleotides) under uncultured Clostridium sp. Its description in RNAcentral is "tRNA-Glu(ttc)". It matches the Rfam family "tRNA". Rfam says of the family: Transfer RNA (tRNA) molecules are approximately 80 nucleotides in length. Their secondary structure includes four short double-helical elements and three loops (D, anti-codon, and T loops). Further hydrogen bonds mediate the characteristic L-shaped molecular structure. tRNAs have two regions of fundamental functional importance: the anti-codon, which is responsible for specific mRNA codon recognition, and the 3' end, to which the tRNAs corresponding amino acid is attached (by aminoacyl-tRNA synthetases). tRNAs cope with the degeneracy of the genetic code in two manners: having more than one tRNA (with a specific anti-codon) for a particular amino acid; and 'wobble' base-pairing, i.e. permitting non-standard base-pairing at the 3rd anti-codon position. Lineage: Bacteria; Bacillati; Bacillota; Clostridia; Eubacteriales; Clostridiaceae. The record is from RNAcentral.